AUGGCGACCGUACUAGAAUCUUUGCUUGGAUCAUGUGCCAAUAAGUUGAAAGAUAUCAUUACUAAUGAGGCCAUACUAAUCCUUGGGGUGGAAGAAGAGCUCGCAGAAGUGCUCCGACAAGUAGAGCUAAUACAGUGUUGCAUAUAUGAUUCUGAAAAGAGGAGGACAAAAGAGCUAGCAGUGAACAAUUGGCUUGGUCAACUGAGAGAUGUUAUGUAUGCUGUUGACGAAAUCAUGGACGUGGCUAGAUGUAAAGGAAUCAAGCUACUGUAUGGCCAUCCUUCAUCAUCAUCAAGCAAAUCAGCUGCAUGUAAAGGCAUUCAAGUUUCCUCUUGCUUUUGUAACAUCGGGUCACGUCAUGAUGUAGCUGUUCGGAUUAGAAGCCUCAACAAAAAGAUAGAGAAUAUUUCAAAGGACAAGAUAUUUUUAACAUUCAACAAUAGUACACAACCUACUCAAAAUGGUCCAACAUCCAAACUGAUAAGAGGUUCCAAUCUUGUUGAGCCCAACCUUGUUGGAAAGGAGAUCAUGCAUUCUAGCAGGAAGUUGGUGGACUUAGUUCAUUCACACAAGGAAAAUAAGUCUUACAAGAUUGCUAUUGUUGGAACUGGAGGAGUUGGUAAGACAACUCUAGCUCAGAAAAUAUACAAUGACCAAAAAAUAAAAGGAAGCUUCAAGCUACAUGCAUGGAUUUGUGUUACACGAGACUACAAUGAAGCUACUCUUCUUAAAGAGGUUCUCCGUAAUAUUGGUGUGCAUCAUGAGCAAGGUGAAACAAUAGCGGAGCUGCAUAGAAAACUUGCAGAAACAGUUGAAGGGAAGAGUUUCUUUCUGGUUCUAGAUGAUGUGUGGCAAUCCAAUGUAUGGACGGAUUUAUUAAGACCUCCAUUACAUAAGACCACUGCUGGAGUAAUAUUAGUAACCACACGAGAUGAUCAAAUUGCAAUGAGAAUAGGUGUGGAGUAUACCCAUCGAGUUGAUCUCAUGUCAGUAGAGGCGGGAUGGGAACUACUUUGGAAGAGCAUAAGCAUUGAAAAAGAAAAAGAAGUGCAGAAUUUGCAGAAAACAGGAAUUGAGAUUGUUCGUAAAUGUGGUCACCUCCCCCUGGCAAUCAAGGUUAGCGCUCGUGCUUUGGCAAGUAGAGAUAUAACAGAGAAUGAGUGGAGAAAGUUUUUGGGAAAACAUGUUGGCUCCCAGAGCAUGCUCUCGGAUGAAAUACAAGGAGUUCUGUAUCUCAGCUAUGAUGAAUUAGAACAUCGUCUUAAGCAAUGUUUCCUUUACUGUGCUUUGUAUACUGAAGAUUCUAUCAUUGACCGUGAUGUAGUUACCAAGUUAUGGAUUGCUGAAGGCUUUGUCGAGGAGCAACAGGGCCAACUACUAGAAGACAUAGCUGAAGAGUACUACUACGAGCUAAUCCAUCGAAAUCUCCUCCAACCAGAUGGAACAUAUUUUGAUAUGACUUAUUGCAAAAUGCAUGACCUCUUAAGACAGCUUGCCUUAAAUAUAUCAAAAGAAGAAUGCUUUAUUGGAGAUAUUGAAACAUUAAGGGGUGAUAAUAUGUCAAAACUUCGACGUGUUACCGUUGUGACUAAGAAGGACAAACUGGUAUUACCUAGCAUGGAUAAGAUAGAAAUUAAGGUGAGGACUUUGAUAACGGUUCCUGGUCCAAGGAGCAUUGAGGAUACAUUGUUCAAGAGAUUUCUGCUUCUUCGUGUUUUGGUACUGAAUUACUCAAUUGUACAAAGCAUUCCAGAUUAUAUUGGAAAAUUGAUACAUCUACGCCUACUUGAUCUAGAUUAUACUGGUAUAUCAUGUGUUCCGGAAUCCAUUGGAUCUCUAAAGAACCUUCAAGUAUUGAGCUUGGAAUGCUGUGGUGCUCUACACAGUCUUCCUCUGGCAAUGACCCAGUUGUGCAAUUUAAGAUGUCUUGAUCUUUCUGGUACAGAAAUAAAUCAGGUUCCAAAAGGGAUAGGGAAACUGAAGUUCCUCACUGAAUUGCGAGGAUUUCCUGUUGGUGAUGGAAGUGACAAUGCUGAUGUACAAGAUGAAUGGAAGUUGGAAGAGUUAUCUUCUUUGUCACAAAUGAGGUAUCUUUUUCUUGUUAAAUUGGAAAGGGUGGCUCAUUGUAGUGCAAAUACACUGCUAGCGGACAAAAAACAUCUAAAAGACCUAAAACUAGAGUGGACAAAAUCUAGAUGGGGAUCAUAUUCAGAAGAAGAUGUUAGGCAUAUUGAGGUGGUCUUUGAGCAUCUAGUACCUCCAAGCAACCUGGAAAACCUAUAUAUUUUGGGAUUCUUUGGUCGGCGGUAUGCCACCUGGUUUGGUACCACCUGUUUGUCUUCAUUAAUACACUUGAUCCUCAAAGAUGUACGAUCAUGUGUGCAUCUUCCACCUAUUGGGAAGCUACCCAACUUGAAAUAUCUGAGAAUUGAGGGUGCAGAUGCAGUUACCAAGGUUGGACCUGGAUUUGUUGGCUGCAGGAAUGGUGAUCCCCUGUGCAAUGAGUUAGUUGCUUUUCCUAAACUUGAAUGGUUGGUCCUCAAGCAUAUGCCCAACUGGGAGGAGUGGUCUUUUUUUGAAGAAAAGGGAAAAGCAGAAGUUUCUGAGGAUGAAGCUGAGAUUCGAAAAGAAGAUGCCCAAUCUGCAAGGUUGCAAGUGCUGCCUCGUUUGGUGCUGUUGAAACUUGAAGGUUGCCCAAAGUUGCGGGCUAUUCCACAGCAGCUUGGAGAGGACAGUGCCAGCUUGAAGUACCUCGAAUUAAUUGGACUACACAACUUGAAUGAUGUGGAGGACCUCCCAAUGCUCUCCGAGCUUCUCCUAAUUGAGAAAUGUGAAGGCCUGAAGAGGGUAUCCAACCUCCCUCAAGUGACAGACCUGCGUGUGCUUGGUUGUCUGAACUUAAGCCAUGUAGAGGGAUUGGGCAGUUUGCAGAAGCUGGGACUAGGCGAGGAUGUGCAAGAGAGCUCUUCACGCUGGGUGGUUGGUCUUCAAAACCAGCACCAACAACUUCAUGGUGAAGACCUGGAUGUCUACACGUUGGCUACCAGUUAG
RNAcentral lists this ribosomal RNA (3051 nucleotides) under Triticum aestivum (bread wheat). RNAcentral describes it as "partial small subunit ribosomal RNA". Lineage: Eukaryota; Viridiplantae; Streptophyta; Magnoliopsida; Poales; Poaceae. The record is from RNAcentral.